RNAcentral lists this ribosomal RNA (880 nucleotides) under uncultured bacterium. RNAcentral describes it as "bacterial SSU rRNA". It matches the Rfam family "Bacterial small subunit ribosomal RNA", at positions 606 to 1500 of the family's 1533-position model. The record is from RNAcentral.
GGCUCAACCGUAAAAUUGCCAUUGAAACUGGCGAACUUGAGUACAGUAGAGGUAGGCGGAAUUCGUGGUGUAGCGGUGAAAUGCUUAGAUAUCACGGAGAACUCCGAUUGCGAAGGCAGCUUGCUGGACUGUAACUGACGCUGAGGCACGAAAGCGUGGGGAUCAAACAGGAUUAGAUACCCUGGUAGUCCACGCCGUAAACGAUGAAUGCUAGCUGUUAGCGAUAUACUGUUAGCGGCACAGAGAAAUCGUUAAGCAUUCCACCUGGGGAGUACGCCGGCAACGGUGAAACUCAAAGGAAUUGACGGGGGCCCGCACAAGCGGAGGAACAUGUGGUUUAAUUCGAUGAUACGCGAGGAACCUUACCUGGGCUUAAAUUGCAGUGGAAUAACGUGGAAACAUGUUAGCCUUCGGGCCGCUGUGAAGGUGCUGCAUGGUUGUCGUCAGCUCGUGCCGUGAGGUGUCGGCUUAAGUGCCAUAACGAGCGCAACCCUCAUCGAUAGUUACUAACAGGUUAAGCUGAGGACUCUAUCGAGACUGCCGACGUAAGUCGUGAGGAAGGUGGGGAUGACGUCAAAUCAGCACGGCCCUUACGUCCAGGGCUACACACGUGUUACAAUGGGGGGUACAAAGGGCAGCUACCUGGCGACAGGAUGCUAAUCUCAAAAACCUCUCUCAGUUCGGAUUGGAGUCUGCAACCCGACUCCAUGAAGCUGGAUUCGCUAGUAAUCGCGCAUCAGCCACGGCGCGGUGAAUACGUUCCCGGGCCUUGUACACACCGCCCGUCAAGCCAUGGGAGCCGGGGGGACCUGAAGUAUGCAACCGUAAGGAGCGUCCUAGGGUAAAACUGGUGACUGGGGCUAAGUCGUAACAAGGUACC